GACGAACGCUGGCGGCGUGCUUAACACAUGCAAGUCGAACGGAAAGGCCCUGCUUUUGUGGGGUGCUCGAGUGGCGAACGGGUGAGUAACACGUGAGUAACCUGCCCUUGACUUUGGGAUAACUUCAGGAAACUGGGGCUAAUACCGGAUAGGAGCUCCUGCUGCAUGGUGGGGGUUGGAAAGUUUCGGCGGUUGGGGCUGGGCUCGCGGCUUAUCAGCUUGUUGGUGGGGUAGUGGCUUACCAGGGCUGUGACGGGUAGCCGGCCUGAGAGGGUGACCGGGCACAAUGGGACUGAGAUACGGCCCAGACGCCUACGGGAGGCAGCAGGCGGGAGUCUUGCACAAUGGGCGGAAGCCUGAUGCAGCAACGCCGCGUGCGGGAUGACGGCCUUCGGGUUGUAAACCGCUUUCGCCUGUGACGAAGCGGGAGUGACGGUAAUGGGUAAAGAAGCACCGGCUAACUACGUG
Molecule: ribosomal RNA, 468 nt
Filed under: uncultured bacterium
Lineage: Bacteria
Description: partial 16S ribosomal RNA
Rfam family: Bacterial small subunit ribosomal RNA
Source: RNAcentral